AAAGAGAAGUUAAACAUACGACAUGAACUGAAUUAACUAGUGCGCAUGACUAGUUAAAAACAAAGUUCCUUUGACAAUAAAUUUCUAAUUAAAUCAUGGCUGCACCUCGGCAGCGCUAUUGUGAGAGUGAAAGUGGACGUGCUGCUACUCCCCUCAUUCCUAACAUGUAUCAAGUACCUGCAUUGAGUAAUGCAAGAGUGAGAUGACACAUCUCAGCAAGUAAAAUAAUAUCAAACUGUUUAACCACAUAAGAACAUUGUUUUACCACCACUUGAUUCCACAACCUUCUUAUUACGAAGGUGCAGCACGUAUACAACGUACAACACACCUAGUCACCACACCUCGCAGGUAGAAACCACAAUAGUAACAUAGUAAUGUCACACUUCAUAUAUAUAUACCUCAUGAGUGCAAAUGUCUGCAAAUGCAAGGAUGACUUCUGCCUUCAUACCUCUAAGGAUAUGAAGCCGCAUCGUACCCCUCCUCGAGCAACGUACGAUGCUAAAAAUGUACGGGUACGGUCGAACCAUAAGAUCAUGACAUAACUUUAAAAUGCAAGAUGGAUGAUGCGAUGUGCAUGUCAUGCCUACAACACUUCAUAUAACGUGAUUCAAAAAGAUACUUCAACUUUAUCCAAGAUGGGAAUCAACCACAUAUAUCAUUAACAAAUUAUGAUCAUCCACAAUAUUAGACAAUUGAGAAUUAAUACUUCCAAACAAAUAAACUUCAUCAUAGAAUUCAAUGAUUAACAUAAUUAAAACUUAUGCAUACUCAAUGACAGGGAAUAGGAUGCAAACCAAACGGUAGCAACCACCACUGUAUUUACUUGCCUUUACCGGAAGUUCGGGCAAAUCCCUAAGUACGAUCCGGAAGUCCACCACCUGUUUUUGACACACAACUUAGUGCACCAAUUUCACAUAAUCAGGCUCAUAAGCGACGCUGCACCUACGCACAAACUCAAACCCCGCCGCGGGUUACAUCUCUCCCCACACCCACCAAACUGCAGCGGGGCUGCUUAAUAUUUUCAUAACUUUAAAAUUAUGACAGCAGUGGUAACAAACAAAAACUCCAGAGGCAUCUACAUAAAAUUCCCCACAAGUUUUGUACACAAUUUAUAAUUAAAUUCCAACAUCUAAUUAGCCCAAAACAGUCCACAAGAUGAACCCUGUAAUCUGUUUUUUGUCUUUUGGACAGCGACAUACCCGGAUUCAAACAGCGAUAUCUUUUAAAAUAUAAUUCCAAAUCAAGCGUAUAAGUACUCAUUGGAAAGAUAAGACAAAGCCCUACAUUAUUAUCAUACUGGUUAACACUAAUUACCCACGAAAAAUGCCCAGAAACUGCUAAUACUACUUUUGUUCACCCACCUGAAAAUCUGUUUUUUUGGACAGCAACAUAACCGGAUUCAAACAACGAUAUCUCCUAAAUUAUAACUCCGAAUCGAGCGCAUAAGUACCCGUUGGAAAGUUAUGACAAAGCUCUACAUGAUUCACCCACUGAUCCCCACUAAUUACCCACGAAAAAUUCCCAGAAAUCCCUAGAACUACUGCUGUUCGCCACCCACAAAAUUUCAGGACAGCACCUCUACCGAUUCGGAUAGGUAAACAUAUAAUCAAUUGGAUUACAACACAAUUAAACAAGAUACAAUCUCAAAAUCACCUUGAAUCCUCCCCCUUUCCUCCCUUCUUCUUCCCUCCACCAAAAUCCAAUUGGAGACAUGCACCAACGCGACGUAGAUCCGAGCGAGAAAGGAAUGGCACCUUGGAGAGAAGGGCUUGAGGAGGGGGCGGCUAGGGUUUGAUGGGGGAGGUGGGGUGGCGGCUGCAAAUGGGUGUAGGAGUGAGAGGGGCGUCCUCC
Molecule: long non-coding RNA, 1851 nt
Filed under: Zea mays
Lineage: Eukaryota; Viridiplantae; Streptophyta; Magnoliopsida; Poales; Poaceae
Description: long non-coding RNA (ZMAY_LNC004786)
Source: RNAcentral